AUCUGCAGUCGACGACUCUGUGUAUUGAUUGGUGCUUGCAUCAUGAUUUACAUUUGAGUGAGUGGCGAACUGGUGAGUAACACGUGGGAAACCUGCCCAGAAGCGGGGGAUAACACCUGGAAACAGAUGCUAAUACCGCAUAACAACUUGGACCGCAUGGUCCGAGUUUGAAAGAUGGCUUCGGCUAUCACUUUUGGAUGGUCCCGCGGCGUAUUAGCUAGAUGGUGGGGUAACGGCUCACCAUGGCAAUGAUACGUAGCCGACCUGAGAGGGUAAUCGGCCACAUUGGGACUGAGACACGGCCCAAACUCCUACGGGAGGCAGCAGUAGGGAAUCUUCCACAAUGGACGAAAGUCUGAUGGAGCAACGCCGCGUGAGUGAAGAAGGGUUUCGGCUCGUAAAACUCUGUUGUUAAAGAAGAACAUAUCUGAGAGUAACUGUUCAGGUAUUGACGGUAUUUAACCAGAAAGCCACGGCUAACUACGUGCCAGCAGCCGCGGUAAUACGUAGGUGGCAAGCGUUGUCCGGAUUUAUUGGGCGUAAAGCGAGCGCAGGCGGUUUUUUAAGUCUGAUGUGAAAGCCUUCGGCUCAACCGAAGAAGUGCAUCGGAAACUGGGAAACUUGAGUGCAGAAGAGGACAGUGGAACUCCAUGUGUAGCGGUGAAAUGCGUAGAUAUAUGGAAGAACACCAGUGGCGAUGGCGGCUGUCUGGUCUGUAACUGACGCUGAGGCUCGAAAGUAUGGGUAGCAAACAGGAUUAGAUACCCUGCUAGUCCAUACCGUAUACGAUGAUGCUAGUGUUGGAGGGUUCGCCCUUCAGUGCUGCAGCUACGCAUUAAGCAUUCGCUGGGGAGUACGGCGCAGCUGAACUCAAGGGAAUUGACGGGGGACUC
RNAcentral lists this ribosomal RNA (893 nucleotides) under Lactiplantibacillus plantarum. RNAcentral describes it as "bacterial SSU rRNA". It matches the Rfam family "Bacterial small subunit ribosomal RNA", at positions 53 to 923 of the family's 1533-position model. The record is from RNAcentral. Lineage: Bacteria; Bacillati; Bacillota; Bacilli; Lactobacillales; Lactobacillaceae.